This 2324-nucleotide long non-coding RNA is filed under the name Marmota monax (woodchuck). The record is from RNAcentral. Lineage: Eukaryota; Metazoa; Chordata; Mammalia; Rodentia; Sciuridae.
AAGCUGUUUUUCUUUCUUGUAAAUACAGGUGUCGAAUGCAUCAAAAGAGCAGAAGUGCAUCUCCAAAAAUUGAAUGAAUCUGUGCCGUUCCUUGUCAAUUUCGUGCUGCCUACAGUAACACUAUAACUGAAAACAGCAAUGAUGUCACUGGAAGUGCUCUGUUAUGACAAAGAACAACAGUAACAGUCAGAGGUGGCUCCUAAGAGAAUUCACAAUCCACUCGAAGUCCUCCAUGGGCUCAUCCUUUGAUUUGAAGAAGGAAUGAAAUAUUCUUUGCAUGAGAGAGGAGAGAUGGGAAGUGAUACCUAAGGAUGGUCAGUUCCUCUAAAGAUAGAUACAUGACAGGGUGAACACUGAUAUAUUUCUUAGGUUGUCUGUAACUAGCUCUGGGGGCCCAAAGAUGUAGUGAUGGCUGUGAAGGACAUUCCUUAACUGUCACACUUGUUGCAAUGAGUGGAAGGUGGCAUUUGUUUGGAAAUCCCUCCCCAGCCUUUGUUCCCAGAACCCAGCAUUCAUUUCCCUGUGCCUACAUACGUAGUUCCUUAGAUAAACACUACUACUGCAACAAAUCAUGGAGUGCCAGGCCUUACCAGAUGGUCACAUAGAAUUAAAAAUAUAUGCAAGAAAAUAAGUUCUAAAGUAAAAAUGUAUCAAGAUAUAACUCUCACUAAUUCCUAAAAUUGCCUGCUAUUAUAUCCAUGCUGCUACAGUCUUUAUCCACUCGAAUUUUUGUUUCUAUCAUCCUUCUUUGAAAUCCUCUGUACUUCUCUAGUCAUGAAAUCCUGCCAUUUAUUAAGGACAAGCUGAAGUCUCACCACCUUCAUCAACUCCUUCCUCACUAUCCAUGCCUAGUGAGAUAACCUUUCUGAAAUCCCACUGUCUUUUGUCUUCUAAUCAUGAUUGUCCUUUCCAGCCAUUUUAUAUUCUUCUCCUUAAUAGAAUCUAACUUCCUGGAUAGUGGAGUCCACUUGAAAAUUCUUCCUGUGCUGAACCCAUUGACAAGGUAGGAAAUAUCCUGUAGAGGAAAGAACAGGAACUUUGGAGUCCUCAAGCUAGAAGUGCAUUAUAUGUAAUUAUAAACUGUAACCUAAGCCAAGUCUAAUUAGAGGAAGUUUCUUUCAGGAAGAAACUCUUCCCUCUAUCUUCCCCCUUUCUUUUCAAAUGACAUUUUUUUUUCUAUUUUUUUCAUAGGGAUUAAUAUACUCUGAUGAAAUUAAGCUCCCUAGAUAUGAAUCAGGAUUUGAAUGGGUAUGAUUCUGGGAAAUUUACUCACUUCCGUUUGCCUCAGUAUCCCCAAGUAUAAAACAGCUUUAAAAUUUGCCUUUAGCAUCAGUUAGCACCACUGUCCUUAGUUAAUAUCCUGAAUGUUUAAAAAAAUACUAUUCAGGCUAAAGUGCUUAAAACAAUGUCCUACAUAUAAUGAGUGCUUAAUCAACACUGGCUAUUAUUUUAUAAAAAAAAUUCUUUUGAUUAGUAUUCAAUUAAAUUUUCCUGGUUUUUCGCCAAGUAGACUUACACUUGGUUGAAUUUAGAACCAGCUUGCAGGCUGAAAACCAACAAUCUAGCAACAAAAUUUGUUUGGUCUACCUUGCACAGGACAUAGUUAUUGCUGGGAAAUAGCUGAGCCCCACACACUAUACUUUUCAGUCCUCUCCCCUUGCUUUCUAAUAGUGAGUUCUUGCAGAAGAGAAAUAAGCAGAAGUUAUAAGUGUCACUUCUAGUCCAACUAUGCCCCUCUCUCUUCUUCAUUCUUCUUUUACUGGAUUGAUGCUAAUAAGCACAGUGAUCUGAGAAGACACAUGUUAAAGAUACUAGGUCCAUUAGAUGGUUAGAAAGCCUGGGUCUCUGAUUUAGUGUCUUCAAAAAAGCAGUCUACCAAUCAACAAUAUCCAUAUUAGACUUUACAUGAGUGUCAAAUAAAACUCUCUCCUGUUGGAUCCAUUAUCUACUUUUUUUUCAGCAACUAGUAUCAUCCUAACAUGUUGCCAUUGGUAAGUUAGAGAGAAGAUGACUCAUCUUACCAAAAGUUAAUCAUUAAUUUAUAAAAAUAAAAAGAAGCACCAAGAAAAAAAUAUGUGGUGAUAUUUUCCUGUUUACAUGAUGUUUUUAUUUCAAGAAAAUUGUGUUAAGCUUGCAUAAUAGCCUGCCAGUUCUAAUCAUCCAUAAAUUUAAAUGUUCUGGGUUCAGGAGUGCAUGAUAGAGUAGAGACUCUGUGAAGUAAGGUCCUUAUUAAGAAGAUCCAGUUAUGGAGGAAGAAAAGCUUGGAGGAAAUGGUAAUUUAUCACUGUAACAAACACCAGAGGAAUUUUAAGUGAAGAAAUUGU